AAACCAACUGGGAUUACCUUAGUAACGGCGAGUGAAGCGGUAAAAGCUCAAAUUUGAAAUCUGGUACUUUCAGUGCCCGAGUUGUAAUUUGUAGAAUUUGUCUUUGAUUAGGUCCUUGUCUAUGUUCCUUGGAACAGGACGUCAUAGAGGGUGAGAAUCCCGUUUGGCGAGGAUACCUUUUCUCUGUAAGACUUUUUCGAAGAGUCGAGUUGUUUGGGAAUGCAGCUCAAAGUGGGUGGUAAAUUCCAUCUAAAGCUAAAUAUUGGCGAGAGACCGAUAGCGAACAAGUACAGUGAUGGAAAGAUGAAAAGAACUUUGAAAAGAGAGUGAAAAAGUACGUGAAAUUGUUGAAAGGGAAGGGCAUUUGAUCAGACAUGGUGUUUUUAGCAUGCACUCGCCUCUCGUGGGCUUGGGCCUCUCAAAAACUUUCACUGGGCCAACAUCAGUUCUGGCAGCAGGAUAAAUCAUUAAGAAUGUAGCUACCUCGGUAGUGUUAUAGCUUAUUGGAAUA
This 511-nucleotide ribosomal RNA is filed under the name uncultured Hanseniaspora. RNAcentral describes it as "eukaryotic LSU rRNA". It matches the Rfam family "Eukaryotic large subunit ribosomal RNA", at positions 62 to 577 of the family's 3401-position model. Lineage: Eukaryota; Fungi; Ascomycota; Saccharomycetes; Saccharomycodales; Saccharomycodaceae. The record is from RNAcentral.